Molecule: unclassified non-coding RNA, 253 nt
Filed under: Salmonella enterica subsp. arizonae serovar 62:z4,z23:-
Lineage: Bacteria; Pseudomonadati; Pseudomonadota; Gammaproteobacteria; Enterobacterales; Enterobacteriaceae
Source: RNAcentral
AUCUCGAGGAAACACAAUUAAGCCUUUGAUUUAAAAUAAAAAAGAGACCGAAUACGAUUCCUGUAUUCGGUCCAGGGAAAUGGCUCUUGGGAGAGAGCCGUGCGCUAAAAGUUGGCAUUAAUGCAGGCUACGUCGCCUUGCCCUUUAAGAAUAGAUGACAACGCCAGGUUUUCCAGCUUGUGACGAAGGUGAUUGAAAAAAUCUGCCGCCAUGUUUGUCAUCAGAGAUAAAAAAACCGUAACCCUUUUCGUGA